GAACCUUACCUGGUCUUGACAUCCCGGAGACCCUUAGGAAACUAGGGGUGCUUCCAUCUGGAAGAAUCUGGAGGACAGGUGCUGCAUGGCUGUCGUCAGCUCGUGUCGUGAGAUGUUGGGUUAAGUCCCGCAACGAGCGCAACCCUUGCCUUUAGUUGCCAGCAGUUCGGCUGGGCACUCUAAAGGGACUGCCGGUGUUAAACCGGAGGAAGGUGGGGAUGACGUCAAGUCCUCAUGGCCUUUAUGACCAGGGCUACACACGUACUACAAUGGCCGAUACAAAGGGCAGCGACACUGCGAGGUGAAGCCAAUCCCGUAAAAUCGGUCUCAGUCCGGAUUGGAGUCUGCAACUCGACUCCAUGAGGUUGGAAUCGCUAGUAAUCGUGGAUCAGCAUGCCACGGUGAAUACGUUCCCGGGCCUU
Molecule: ribosomal RNA, 422 nt
Filed under: uncultured Desulfobulbus sp.
Lineage: Bacteria; Pseudomonadati; Thermodesulfobacteriota; Desulfobulbia; Desulfobulbales; Desulfobulbaceae
Description: bacterial SSU rRNA
Rfam family: Bacterial small subunit ribosomal RNA
Source: RNAcentral